UACGUAGGGCGCAAGCGUUGUUCGGAAUUACUGGGCGUAAAGCGCACGUAGGCGGCUUUGUAAGUUAGAGGUGAAAGCCUGGAGCUCAACUCCAGAACUGCCUUUAAGACUGCAUCGCUUGAAUCCAGGAGAGGUGAGUGGAAUUCCGAGUGUAGAGGUGAAAUUCGUAGAUAUUACGGAAGAACACCAGUGGCGAAGGCGGCUCACUGGACUGGUAUUGACGCUGAGGUGCGAAAGCGUGGGGAGCAAACAGG
RNAcentral lists this ribosomal RNA (254 nucleotides) under uncultured bacterium. RNAcentral describes it as "partial 16S ribosomal RNA". It matches the Rfam family "Bacterial small subunit ribosomal RNA", at positions 524 to 776 of the family's 1533-position model. The record is from RNAcentral.